RNAcentral lists this long non-coding RNA (209 nucleotides) under Lathyrus oleraceus (garden pea). RNAcentral's name for it is "Pisum sativum (pea) long non-coding RNA (PSAT_LNC028230)". The record is from RNAcentral. Lineage: Eukaryota; Viridiplantae; Streptophyta; Magnoliopsida; Fabales; Fabaceae.
AUUUUAGAAAAAUCUACUUUGUGUCAUUCGAUGAAAACAUUGUUGGCUACCCAAAACAAGUGAGAAGGGAACAUUUGCAUCACGGCCAAAUGGAUUUACAAAUCAACAUUUAUGGGCAACAUCGUAAGCUUACUCACACGUUCAAGUGGACGAAACAUUGUUUUUUAUCGUCUUGAGACAAAAUACCUUUUGUUUAAAAAUGGUUUGAG